This 12143-nucleotide long non-coding RNA is filed under the name Manihot esculenta (cassava). RNAcentral describes it as "long non-coding RNA (MESC_LNC002229)". The record is from RNAcentral. Lineage: Eukaryota; Viridiplantae; Streptophyta; Magnoliopsida; Malpighiales; Euphorbiaceae.
UUAUCUAAUAUCCAAAUGGUAUUCAUAUGUUUUUUAUCACAGCAAGUAAUAUUGAAACAAGUGAUACCUGCAUAGUUUGGGGUGUUGGACUCAGUUGCAUUUUCUGAGUAAUAGUUGUCUUGUAGUGCAAUAGCUGCCGUGGUGGCUUUUUCUUUAAUUAAUUUGGUUACUUCAUGUUGGAGAGAGCUUAGCAUAGUUCAUCAAUUUUGGUGGUGGCAUCAAGAGGAUUGUCCUUUGCAAGGAUAGUGGCCACCAUCUUAUUUUCAUUUCCCAUGGUUUUGGUUCUAAAAGACUGUCCAUCAUUCUUGCCUUUUGGUUUAAACCAAUCUGGAUACCCUAUCACUUUUAAGCAUCAUUUUCUAACAUGUCCAUCCGUUAUAGUGUGAGCAAUGCCUUAUCUUGGAGUCAAGUUUUCUUCAUCUCCCUUGAGAUUGCCUUUGUGUUCUAUUUAAGAGCAAUGGUUGGCAUGAAUGGAGGUGGAAAGACAACAACUGUUAUUAUGAUUCAGGUUUGUGCCAUAGGACCUAAGCCAUUCCACCCACAAGUGUUGCCUCUUGUUUGUAGGUAAUUUAAUUCAUAUUGAGUUGCUUUGUUGUGAAACUUGAGUGAUUGUAUUUUGAUUUUCUUGUAGUUACAAAUUUCAAUUGAUGAUAGGACCUAUUUAGCAAAAUUCCAGUUUAAAAGAAUCACGAAUUUAGAGAAUAAAUGGCAAAUUGUUCAAUUUUGUGCUUUAAGUUAAAGUGAAGUAUUUUUAAGCUGGUUGAUAACCAUUUUAUUUGACAAGUUUUUUAUUCUCUAAACUUUAUGGGUUUCUAUUGAAAGAGGAGUUUAGUUCUUUCACUCUGAAAAGCUAGAACUUUUACUAAAAUUGGAUAGUAUCUAAAUAUAGUAAUUUGCAUUUCUUAUUGAGUUUGCAGAGAUCCUAUAAUGGAGUACUCAAAACCAUUUCAUAAAUUAGGCACAGUGGGCUUUGAAUUACUAUCCUUGGCACUUGGGCUGAAGCCUGACCCUCUCAAAGAGAUGGGUUGUGCAAAAUAGCAUGCUUGCUCUCCAGCAUGCCCUGGUGGGGAGGUGGUUGCCAUUAAUUUGUCCUUCAUUUCACUUGUUAUAAUUCUGAAAAUGCAUACACUUAAAUGUUAAUGUGUCCAUAGACUUUGAUCCAAAUAUAGUCUGGAGAUGAAGAGUUUUGUUUUAAUUUGUAUUAGAAACUGAGAUUUCAUGCUUAUUUUUUAGUCUUUGUUUUCAAGUAAAUUUUUUAGGUAUCAAUUACCCAUAGUUCCAUUUUUCUUAGGCUUUUAAGCUUGGAGGAGAACUUGUUAGCUUUGAUAUAGCUACUUGUGCGAUGAUCUGUAACUUUUUUCGAAGACUGGUUAUAAACGUCACGUGCCUUUUUAUGCAUGGAAAUCCUUAGUGAAAUAGGAAUAUUCAGUAGCCAUGUCUUUAAUUUGGGGAAAAAGAUUGAGCAUGAAUGGUCAAUUGAUAUUUACCAUUAGUUCAGAUGCUAUUACAUUUCACAAGGGUUACUAGUGCUUAGACUUGAAAUAAUGCAUUCAUUUUUAUUUAUUUCACUCAUCUAUUUGCAAGACUUUACAAUCAAAUAUGCAAAGCAUCAUCCUGAUGUAAAUAGGUAGAGUUUAUUUUCUCAUUGAAGAAUGCAUUUGAUAUCUUGAAAAGUUUCCAACUGCUACAAAGGUUAUGGUUACAUUUUUUCUGAAUUUCACUGAGAAGCCACAUUAAAUUUUGAGAGACAAUAUGGUGAACAAACAAGUCUAGGUUUUAUGACAUGUUAAUUUCCUUUUUUCUGCUUGUGAAGAGAAGGGUUUAUAUGAAUUCUAUGCCCAAAAACAAUAUAGUACCACCAAAUUAGUGGCAAGCCGUCAUUAUCUAAAGUUAAUUACUGUCAAAGUAAUUCUAACUCUUUUUUCUUAGCGGCUCAAAAUAUGUAAUAAGUAUACAAUUUGAAAAUUUUUAUUUGAGCACAACUGAUCCUAUUUGGAGAAUAAAAAAUUAAGACUCCGUUUGUUUCACGGAAAAUAUUUUUUUAAAAAAUAUUUUUUAUAUUUUCUGGUAUUUGAGUCACUCAAAAAAUUUAAUUAACAAAAAAUAUUUUUAUAAUGAAAGAAAAAAAUAAGCCAUUUUAAAGACUUUAAGAUUUUUAUUAAAACAUUUGUAUAUAAAUUUGUUAAUAAAUUUUAUUUUUUAAAUUAAAAUUAAUUAAUACAAAAUAAGUUAUCUCAUUAAAAAAUAUUUUUUGUGAAAAAUAUUUUUUGCUGAAAAUAUUUUAUAAAUACAAGUUAUUUUAUCAAACAAACAGAAAACAAACAGAGACUAAAUGGUGAGUAUCAAUUCUUAAAGGACAACAUGCGUGAUACCCAGUGAGGCUAUGACAGAAUUCUAUUACUUCUUUUGUAUCUAUUAGGUGGCUGGCUCAAUUAUUAGGGAAUAAGACUUACUUCUUCUUUCUUAUUAGUGGUGAAGUUUCUAGAAUAAAGAAAGAUAAAUAAGGAUAAGAACUUAUAACAUAUGAUAAUCAAUUACCUUAUAAGAGAAGUAGUGUGAAUGCUUUAGAUAAUUCUAUUUUUUCAUUGAUUUAUAUUUCAAGUAGUAUUGAUUUAUUUUUUGCGAUUCACUUUGUAAUCUUAUCUUGUUUAACAAAAAACAACACUAUUAAUUUUUUUAAAAUUUACUGAUGAAUUUACUUACUAUUCUAUUAUUAUUGUAUCAAAUAAAGUCGUUGUAUAAAAUAAAGGUAUUAUUUUUUGGAUUUCGUGUUUAUUGUCUUAGUUAUUUGGUAAAGAAUGGAAAUAGUGGUUUAAAAGAAUAUUGAGAAGAGAGUACCUUUUGUAUACAUAGCUAAUAUUAAUAAACUUAAUUUGAAGAUAUAGUCAUACUUUAAUUUAUUUUUUAUGAGCAUUAAGUUUUUUGCAUGGUGAAUUUUAAUAAAAUAUUCAAUUUAUUUGUGUUGAUAAAAAAUUUUAAAUUGGGUAUAUUAUAUUUAUUUAUGUAUUAUCUUGAGAUUGUAUGAGUAAAUAAAGAUAUUUGAAAAUAAAUAAAUAAGUAAAUUUAUUAACAAAUUUUAUUAAUCUUUUUUUCUCCAAUGAAUUUGUGAUGGACAUAAGCCAUCGUUGUGCUUAGGGAUGAAUUUUUUAUGAAAUCAUAAUUGAAAGCAUUUUGUUUUUUCCAUAGAAUUGGCAACGAAAAAGGUUGUCAGUAAAAUUUUCAAUGGAUUGUUGCAUGAAAAAUAUUAUAACUAAUGUUUCUAAUGGUGCAAAAUAUACGUCAGCAAAAUCGAAAAUCUAUUGCUAAAAGUAUUAGCGAUGAAAAUUGCAGUCUGUUCCUUUGUAGUGUUCACCUUAUACUUCAUCCAUGAUCAGUAGGUGGCUCCCGUUGGCUAGAACUCUCGGCUAAUAGACCUCCCAUUACCAACUCAGAAGGAAGACAAAAGUGAAUCCUUUUAAUAUACCCAAAUAAGUACUUGGUAUAUAAGUUGUGGUGUAAUCAAUUAUGCGCUAGCUUGAGUAGAAUUAGUACCUCCUUGAUCCAUACCAUGAGGCUAAAAAGCUCACUGUGCAUUAGUGUGUGUAAAGGUGUGCAAAGAUCUCCUAAGAAACAUAAGAUGGAAUAUAAAAAUCAUACAAGGUUACUUUCUCUAUCCCCAGUGGAGUCGACAGACUAUGACACACAAAUUCUAUAUAAUUUGUUAGAGUCUCGUCUUCUCACAAUACUACCAUGAGGUCUAGAUAUUUUAUUUACUUGUGAAGAGCAGAGGAAAAGAAUCGCCACCUUAAUGAGAUCAAUGACAAAAUUUGAAGGACUUGUUAGCUCAUUCACUCCUAGCAAAGUUCCACUAUCCUCCUUAUUCAAUGAUCCAAUGGUUAGGUUGAGAAGCGGGUACGAGAGAGAAAAUGUAUUAGGCACCCUUCUCGCCUAGAUUUAUCUAAAAACUAAUAUCAUCCUUUUUUAUUGAUUCUUGUAUUUUGUCUUAGUAUAUUCAUUAGGAAAUAUUUUUCAAGCAAUAUGCAAACAAUUUAUUUCAUAUGUAUUUAUCAUUUAAUCACAUUUUACACAUGCAUCCUUCGGCAUAAGCAUGCCAAAUAUCUACUUUAAUUAAGGUAGAGUAAUUACUAAAUUGUCCUAGUUAAUAUAUUCCUAAUUUAAUUUCAUGGCAUAGUCCAAUUACACUAAAGCGAGGGUCCUAACAUGCACAAUAUAUGUGUGGUUCAUCCAAAUCAAAGAUAAGUUCACUAGGUUCUAACAUGCGUAAUUAAACCCAUUUUAUGGUCUUCUUGCUCUAAGUUAUUCAGCCAUUUUCUACACCAAAAUUUAAACAACCUCUAAGCAUGCAAACCGUGUCUUUAACACGCAUAAUUGCUUUUAGAUUUUCUAACUAAGUAUACUUAUUUUCUAAAUUCAAUUACAUGCCAAUAAAGUAAGAAAAGCUAAUUAAAACAUUGAAAGAAAUUAAGGAGAAUAAAGAUUAAAUAAUUAAUCCAAAAGGCCUUAAUUAGAAAGAUGAAAGAGAAAAGAAUUACAUUCCAAAAUAAUUGACCAAAAUAAAAUAAAAUAAAAUAAUAAUUCAAAACUAAUAAAUUAGAAGAUUUUAAGCCCAACAUCCUUUAAGGACCUUUAAUUACCUCCAUUGGGCCUCCACUAUAGGCUCCAUAUGUCCACAGAAGAAAAAAUUUUGCAACUAAAACCUAAGGAUUUCUCCUUCAUUUAAUUAAAAUAAAUUAUCAAGGCAAAAUAAAAUUAUAAUAGUCCAUAAAUGAUUAAUAAUAAUAAAAAUCCAAAAAUAAUAAAAAAAAAGAUUGGAUAUUCAAAACAAAACAAAAUCUUUAGGUGAAAGAAAGUCUAUUAUGAUCACAAUUCCACUUAAUAUAGAUUUCAGAUAAAAAAAUGUCUCUUAAGGGGAGUCCUAUCUACCUUUUGGCUUCUAUUUUAAUACUAAAAUACAUGUUAUUAUAGUAAAAAUAAGGAUUGACUAUAAAAAAUACAAUAAGAAUAAACAAAAAAUACAAAAUGAACAAAAUAGCACGAACUAAAAACUUAUAUAUGAAUAUGAUAUAUUUUGAUGAUAAAAAGUGAAAAUAUGAAAAAAAAAAUAGCAAAAGACCUAAAAAGAUAUGAAAUUUUGUGAAGACAUCCCUAAGACACCAAACAAAACAUUCAUGAAAGAAUCAUGCAAAAAAGGAUAAGCCAAUUUUGAGAUUUAGCCAUCUCAAUAAGGUUGUCAUUGAACUUGUCAGAUUUUGCACACUAAUUUUGUAUGCGAUAUGACAUUACGUUAGAGACACAAAUGUGAAAAACUCAAAAUAUGGAAAAUUUAAUAAUAAACAUCUUGAACUUAAUUUUAAACUCAAGAAUCACCCAAAAGGGUGAUUGAAAACUCAAGAUAUAGCCUUUACAAGUCGCAUCAUUGUUUGGAACUCCUAAAAAUAUCUUAUUAUUCAAUUAAAAUUUGAAAAAGCAUAACUAAUUCAAUAAAAAUCUGAAUUAGGCAAAUAAUAUAUGAAAAUUAUAUGGAAUUUUCAAAAGAAAUUCAAAAAAAAAAAUUCCAGACUAAUAAUAGACUCCUAUCAAAAUCGACUUUUAAACAAAAUUGAUUUGCCUCUUAGACAUGCACAAAUUUUUUGUUUGAAAUUCAAUAUGAUAGGUCCCCGUCAAAGCCAAGGUAAAUAAAAGAGAAUAAGAAGUUUCUGAUAUUUUUCAUUGAUGCUAAAUGCUGCUGCUACACGUAAUUUAAAUAAGAAAUGGGCAAACAACUUAAUCCUAUUCUCUUGGCCACAAUCGGCACUAAAAAGAUUUUAUUGCCAAGAUUUGCUGAAUACUAAUUGACUAAGUAAUUUAAAUAAAAAUAAUUGCAGUAAAUGAUAAAUAAUAAAAUAGCAGGAAACACUUAGUCUAAAUACUUCUUAUUUUUUAUAAUAACUCUGGAUGAUCGCCUGAUUGGUCUAUCAGUACCUCCCCCAUCGGCAGGAACCUUGUCUUCAAGGUUCAAGGUAGGAAACCUGGCUUGCAAAUCUGCAGUACAUUCCCAAGUCGCAUCUUCCUGCGGCAAAUGCUUCCAACGAACCAGACUUUCUUCUGAGAGACGGUUGCCAAGUCGAACCCACCUAGUAUCCAAAACUUCAGCAGGCUCGAAAACAAAGUAACCAUCAUCAGUAAGUUGAGGAAAAUCAGAAGAAGUAGGAACAACAUCGCCGAUAUGUUUUUUUAAAAGUGACACAUGAAAAACUGGGUGAAUCUUGGAACCCGAAGGCAGCUGUAAUCGGUAAGCCAAGUUCCCAAUUUUUUCUUUCACCAGGAAUGGGCCAUAAAAACGGCUAGCUAACUUCUGAAAAGCACGUUUGGACACAGAUUAUUGCCGAUAAGGCUGCAAUUUAAGAUAAACAAAAUCUCCGGGAUGGAAUUCCACAUCUCUGCGUUUUUUGUCUGCAAGUUGUUUCAUUUGAUGAACAGACCUUGAGAGAUGAAUCUUUAAGUCACGUAAGAUUUCAUCUCUAGUGGCUAAAGCAUUAUCCACUUCAUGUACCAAGGAAAGAGCCCAAUUCAUAUCGAGGAACCAUAGGAGGAUUCCUGCCAUACAAAGCUAAGAAAGGGGUCAUUCCAAUAGAGAUGUGAUAAGUUGUAUUAUACCAAUAUUCGGCCCAUGGUAAGAAAGAACACCACUUGCGUGGUUGUUGGCUGGCAAAGCAACGUAGAUAUUGCUCCAAACAUCUGUUAGUGACCUCCGAUUGACUAUCCGUUUGAGGAUGAUAAGAGGAGCUCAUAUUCAGCUGUGUUCCAGAAAGCUUAAAGAAUUCUCGCCAAAAGUGACUCAUAAAAAUGGGGUCCCAGUCACUGAUAAUUGAUCUUGGCAAGCCAUGAUAUUUGACAAUCCCAGCCACAAAUACUUCAACAAUGAUUUUGGCAGAGUAUGGAUGAGAUAAUAGCAGAAAAUGUGCAUAUUUACUCAAUCUGUCGAUGACAACUAGAAUAGAAUUCUUACCAUAGGACAUAGGAAGCCCAUCAAUGAAAUCCAUGGCUAUGUCAUCCCAAACCUGAUGUGGAAUUGGCAAUGGCUGAAGGAGACCAGCUGGAGAAGUGGUUGCUGAUUUAUUCUUUUGGCAGACAGAACAAGCUGCGACAUAGGCCUGAAUCUGUGUGCGCAUAGAAGGCCAGUAAAACUGCUGUGAAAUUCUUUUAAAAGUGCGCAAAACACCUGAAUGGCUGCCGCAGGGAGAGUCGUGGAACUCUUGAAGAAGCAGAAUAGGCAAAUCGGAUUUAGGGGGAACCACCACGCGAUUUUUAUAAAAUAAUAAUCCAUUCUUCCAAGAGUAAGGAUUUUCAGGUUGUUCAGUUGCCAGUCGUCCUAUCCGAAGCAUAUAAGGAUCUGUAGAAAGAGUGGCUUUAAUUCGGCUCUAGAGAGAAGACUGCGGCAAAAAAAGAGAAUUUAGGCUGGGACUUCCAGUGACGCGAGAUAAAGCAUCUGCGACUUUGUUUUCCUUGCCCGGUUUAUAAAUAAUUUCGUAAUCAUAGCCCAAUAAUUUCGAAACCCAAUUCUGUUGUUCAGGAGUGACAAUCCGCUGUUCAACCAUGUAUUUGAGGCUACGCUGGUCUGUCUGAAUAAAGAAUUUACGGCCAAGAAGAUAAGGACGCCAUGUGCGUAUAGCCUGUAAGAUGGCCAGCAUCUCUUUAGCAUAGGUAGACAAUGAUUGCUUCGAAGGCUCCAAAGCACGACUCAUGAAAGCAAUUGGUUGAUCCCUCUGAGAUAAUACUGCUCCAAUACCUGUAUUAGAAGCAUCAGUAGUAACAAAAAAUGGCUCACUGAAAUUGGGUAUUGCCAAUGUAGGAGUGGAAAUCAUUGCUUUUUUCAAGGAUAGAAAAGAGGUCUCUGCUUCUGCUGUCCAAAAGAAAGGACCUUUUUUCAACAAGUUUGUCAAUGGCUGGGCAAUUACACCAUAAUUUUGCACAAAUUUUCUGUAGUAGCUAGUAAGUCCCAAAAACCCACGCAAUUCAGUGACUGACGUUGGUGGAGGCCAAUCUUGUAUUGUGCUGAUUUUGGAUUUAUCCACUUGAACACCAGCUCUCGACACCACAUGCCCCAAAUACUCAAUUUGUUCUUGACCGAAGGCACACUUGCUGAGUUUAAUAAAGAACUGAUGCUGCCGCAACAACUCAAAGGCCAGCUGUACAUGUUCCAGAUGAGAUGCCCAAGUAGGACUAUAUAUGAGCACAUCGUCGAAGAACACCAGCACAAAUUUUCGCAAGUAAGGGCAAAAAACAGUGUUCAUGAGCGCCUGAAAGGUGGAUGGCGCAUUACACAGGCCGAAGGGCAUCACCAUAUAUUCAUAAUGGCCAUUAUGAGUACGGAAGGCCGUUUUAUGAAUAUCAGCAUGAUGUACACGAACUUGAUGGAAGCCUGCAAUAAAAUCAAGCUUAGUAAAAUAAGCUGCACCAUAGAGUUCAUCCAACAUGUCCUCCACUUUAGGAAUAAGAAACCGAUCUCGAACGGUGACUUGAUUCAGAGCUCGAUAAUCUGUACAGAAUCGCCAGGAACCAUCUUUCUUCUUAACUAGCAAGACUGGUGAGGAAAAAGGACAUGUGCUAGGCCGUAUGAGUCCUGAUUUCAGCAUUUCAUGGACUUGCUUCUCUAUUUCUUCCUUCUGAAAAUAAGCAUAUCUGUAAGGGCGCACAUUCACGGGAUCAGCACCCUCCUUGAGAUUGAUGUGGUGAUCAAUUUCUCGAUGUGGUGGUAGCUGAUUUGGUUUCUGGCAUAUGUCUUAAAAUUGAGUUAAUAAUUGUAACAUGUCUAGAUGUAGGCCUUCAGGAAGAGAGGUGGGAGAAGAUUCCACACAUAUUGCAAAAACGACAUUGCUCUGCUUCAACUCUUUUGUCAUUGCUUUGGGAGAGAGAGAUUCAAUUGGUCGACUGAGAAUUCCCUGCAGAUGCCGUUGCUGUCCUUUCCAAUUGAAAUCCAUCGUUAAAUGUUUCCAAUUACAAGAAACUGUGCCCAGCUGUUGUAACCACUGUACUCCCAAUACAACAUCCAAACCCAUCAGUGGAAGAGAAAAGAAUGUAGCUGUAAAUGGAAUACCUUGAAGAGAGAAGGGAAUAUUUGUAAAUUUGCCGGUGCACUGCAGGGGAGUCCCAUUAGCCACCUUGACAUUGAAGAGUUUUGUUGGUUUGACUGGCAAUUUGAGCAACCCAGCGAUUUUCUCAUUGAUAAAAUUAUGAGUGGAGCCACUAUCAAUGAGAACAAUCAGUUCAACAAAAUAAAUAUGAAUUGCAACCCUCAUGGUACCUGUAGAAGACCAUCCAGUCAAGGCAUGUAAGGAAAUUUCCGCUUCGAUGUCAUUGUCAUCAUCCUCGUCCAAGCUACAGCCACCAUCCAGUAGGAGGAGUUGUGAUUUGGAACACCUGUGCCCUGAGGUGAACUUUUCAUCACAGUUGAAACAUAGACCUUGCGAUCGUCGUUUUCGCAUCUCGUCCCAGGUUAAUCGCUUUAUUGGGUUAGUCGGCUUGUUUUUUGUUGGAGAGUAAGAACUCGUCUGGAGAGAUGGGCGAAUUGCUUUUUUCUGACGAAGCAACUGCUCAUCCUUCAUUCGAGCUAAGCUUAUGGCGUCUUUUAAUGUCUUCGGCUUAAACAUUCUGAUUUCGUCGGCAAUUUCGGAUUUGAGACCGCCCAUAAAGGUACCGACUAGCGCCUUCUGCGUCCACCCUUGAACUCUAUUCCCCAAUUUUUCAAACUCCCUUUGAUAAUCUCGCAAAUCACCAGUUUGUCGUAUUUUGGAGAGUGCCUCAUCAAAAUCUUCACAGUCGGUGGGCCCGAAGCGAGACCACAAUUCUUCAGAAAAUACUUCCCACGAAACGCUUUUUCCUGCCUCAGUAUGCGUUCUGCGAAGCCACUGCCACCACUUAUUAGCUUCUCCACGUAGGUGGUAUGAGGCCAAGGAAACCUUUUCUAAAUCUGGGGUUCCUUGAUACUCGAAGAACUGGCCUACUCUGGUAAACCACUCCGUCGGAUCGUCUCCUGAAUAUUUCGGGAAUUCCAGUUUUGCUAUUUUAGCUGAAUAAAGUGGUUUUGCCCCGUCUCUGGUUUCAUCUUGGUGUUUGCGGGCCAGACCAACUUGAUCUUUAGCGCUGCUGGCAGCUUCGUUGUUGGAGAGGGUGGGUUCAGUGAGUUUAGUAAUGGCUGCCUUGAGUUGCUGCAGCUCAUCACCAAUUCCCAUUUCCAUUUUUGUCAUGCGAUCUUGGAGCUGACCGAGGCCAACUUCCACGUUUUCAAUUCGCUCCUUGUUGGUAGCCAUUUAGAGGUGAAAGGAAAAGAAUGAUGGCUCUGAUACCAAUGAUAUAUCCCAGUCAAAGCCAAGGUAAAUAAAAGAGAAUAAGAAGUUUCUGAUAUUUUUCAUUGAUGCUAAAUGCUGCUGCUACACGUAAUUUAAAUAAGAAAUGGGCAAACAACUUAAUCCUAUUCUCUUGGCCACAAUCGGCACUAAAAAGAUUUUAUUGCCAAGAUUUGCUGAAUACUAAUUGACUAAGUAAUUUAAAUAAAAACAAUUGCAGUAAAUGAUAAAUAAUAAAAUAGCAGCAAGCACUUAGUCUAAAUACUUCUUAUUUUUUAUAAUAACUCUGGAUGAUCGCCUGAUUGGUCUAUCACAAUAUUGCAAUAAAAAAUAAUUCAAGGGAUAUUUAGAGCAUCAAAACUAAUCAAGAACAUUUGAAUGAAGUAUUCUACGGGAAAAUAAUUGCCUUAUGAUAAAGAAAAGAAAAGAAAAACACACUUUUAAAAAGGAAAGAGUAGCCGUAGUUGUAAUUGUUAGAAGGGAUUCUUGAUUCUCCUUUCUUUAGUAGAAGAGAAGAAAUUUUAAAAUUGAAGAGGAGAGGUGGCCAACUGCUUUUGAGAGAUUUGAGUGAUGAUUUAUUGCCCAUGAGGUUUAGAAUGAGAUAAAUAUAUAGGAGUGGUUGUAAGGUUGGUGUUUGGUUAAAAUAAUAACUCUCUUCCUUCUUUUUUCCUCUUGGCUAGCCAUGGGUUGGUUGGGUUGAUUUUGGUUCAAUUUAGCUCUUAAUUAUGACCAAAUGGAGUCUCACACAAGUCCAAGAAAUUAUAAAAAUGCCACAUUUUAUUUCCUUGAUCUAAUGGACCACUUCCAAUGGCCCAUUUGACCACUCUUUGCUCCUUUAAGACUAAGCCUAUUUCUCUAAAGCUCAUUUAGUUCUUAGGCAAAUGGAAAAGUCUAGAGAAAGAAGGGAAAAAAAAAAUCAUUUUACGUCAGAAGUUUAUUUUUUCAUUUUUCAAUUUUUAUUUUAUUUUUUUAUGGUAUAAAACACUCAUUUAAUUGGUGAUUUUCAUUAUCGUACCCUUAUUGUUUUCGGAUGUACACGCAUCAAAAAAUACAAAAAUCAAGGGUGUGCAUAGGUCUAACAAUACAAAAUAAUAUUAAAGUCUAAAAUUGACAUAAUAGAAAAAUUACAAAAUAAUAUUGAAGUCCAAAAUCGACGAAAUAGAAAAAAAGAGUCAUAUACCUUGGGCUGUAUUUAGAGUCCUAAAGCCAUAUUUUUUAUUGUCCUUUAUAUCCAUGUUUUCUUGUACAAAAUGAAACACGAGGCACACCUUCUUUAAAGUAUGGGGUAGACAUGUCCUAUAUUAUUUAUUGCUUAUAUCCAUGUUUCCUUGUAUAAAAUGAAACGAGGUGCACCUCCUCUAAAGUAUGGCAUAGGCAUGUGGAAGGUAAGAUAACUUGUAAUCCUUGCUAUGUCUUAUGUUCUCACAUGCUUCGUUAGAGUUGUGUUGUGACCUCCUUGUUUGAAUGCUUUCAUAACUCCAAGUAUAAUUUUCAUCUUAAAGCCCUUAGACCGAUUGAAAAUAGCUUGAUUUCUUAUGUAUUGAAACUUCUCGGCUUGAAUUCAUGAAGAGUGCAAAGAAUCUUGUCAUUUAUGUUAUUUGUAUAUCAGUUGUUUUCUCUCACAUUUCUAAUUAAGAGUUCUUAAAUAUCUAUUCUCGUAGCCAACAGAAGAAUUAAAAGCAGAUCAUUUCCAUUCACAAAAGACAACAUGGCUGAGAAAUGGAGAACGGAGGAAAACUGAUCCACAUCACAUAAGCAAAGAAGAAAGGAGAGGGAAAAGAUAUUUUGUUGGAUGAAAUGUUAUCAUUAUAAGCGAAC